GAGUUUGAUCGUGGCUCAGAUUGAACGCUGGCGGCAGGCCUAACACAUGCAAGUCGAGCGGAUGAAGGGAGCUUGCUCCUGGAUUCAGCGGCGGACGGGUGAGUAAUGCCUAGGAAUCUGCCUGGUAGUGGGGAUAACGUCCGGAAACGGGCGCUAAUACCGCAUACGUCCUGAGGGAGAAAGUGGGGGAUCUUCGGACCUCACGCUAUCAGAUGAGCCUAGGUCGGAUUAGCUAGUUGGUGGGGUAAAGGCCUACCAAGGCGACGAUCCGUAACUGGUCUGAGAGGAUGAUCAGUCACACUGGAACUGAGACACGGUCCAGACUCCUACGGGAGGCAGCAGUGGGGAAUAUUGGACAAUGGGCGAAAGCCUGAUCCAGCCAUGCCGCGUGUGUGAAGAAGGUCUUCGGAUUGUAAAGCACUUUAAGUUGGGAGGAAGGGCAGUAAGUUAAUACCUUGCUGUUUUGACGUUACCAACAGAAUAAGCACCGGCUAACUUCGUGCCAG
This 506-nucleotide ribosomal RNA is filed under the name uncultured microorganism. RNAcentral's name for it is "bacterial SSU rRNA". It matches the Rfam family "Bacterial small subunit ribosomal RNA", at positions 9 to 511 of the family's 1533-position model. The record is from RNAcentral.